GGGGGUAUGGCGGAAUGGUAGACGCUACGGACUUAAAAUCCGUUGGUCUUUCAAGACCGUGAGGGUUCAAGUCCCUCUACCCCCA
Molecule: transfer RNA, 85 nt
Filed under: Ptisana novoguineensis
Lineage: Eukaryota; Viridiplantae; Streptophyta; Polypodiopsida; Marattiales; Marattiaceae
Description: tRNA-Leu
Rfam family: tRNA
About the family: Transfer RNA (tRNA) molecules are approximately 80 nucleotides in length. Their secondary structure includes four short double-helical elements and three loops (D, anti-codon, and T loops). Further hydrogen bonds mediate the characteristic L-shaped molecular structure. tRNAs have two regions of fundamental functional importance: the anti-codon, which is responsible for specific mRNA codon recognition, and the 3' end, to which the tRNAs corresponding amino acid is attached (by aminoacyl-tRNA synthetases). tRNAs cope with the degeneracy of the genetic code in two manners: having more than one tRNA (with a specific anti-codon) for a particular amino acid; and 'wobble' base-pairing, i.e. permitting non-standard base-pairing at the 3rd anti-codon position.
Source: RNAcentral